Molecule: ribosomal RNA, 497 nt
Filed under: uncultured bacterium
Lineage: Bacteria
Description: partial 16S ribosomal RNA
Rfam family: Bacterial small subunit ribosomal RNA
Source: RNAcentral
GAUGAACGCUGGCGGCGUGCCUAAUACAUGCAAGUCGAGCGAACAGACGAGGAGCUUGCUCCUCUGACGUUAGCGGCGGACGGGUGAGUAACACGUGGAUAACCUACCUAUAAGACUGGGAUAACUUCGGGAAACCGGAGCUAAUACCGGAUAAUAUAUUGAACCGCAUGGUUCAAUAGUGAAAGACGGCUUUGCUGUCACUUAUAGAUGGAUCCGCGCCGCAUUAGCUAGUUGGUAAGGUAACGGCUUACCAGGGCGACGAUGCGUAGCCGACCUGAGAGGGUGAUCGGCCACACUGGAACUGGGACACGGUCCAGACUCCUGCGGGAGGCAGCAGUAGGGAAUCUUCCGCAAUGGGCGAGAGCCUGACGGAGCAACGCCGCGUGAGUGAUGAAGGUCUUCGGAUCGUAAAACUCUGUUAUUAGGGAAGAACAAAUGUGUAAGUAACUAUGCACGUCUUGACGGUACCUAAUCAGAAAGCCACGGCUAACUACGUG